AUUGAACGCUGGCGGCAUGCCUUACACAUGCAAGUCGAACGGUAACGCGGGGCAACCUGGCGACGAGUGGCGAACGGGUGAGUAAUGCAUCGGAACGUGCCCAGUAGUGGGGGAUAGCCCGGCGAAAGCCGGAUUAAUACCGCAUACGACCUACGGGUGAAAGCGGGGGACCGUAAGGCCUCGCGCUAUUGGAGCGGCCGAUGUCAGAUUAGCUAGUUGGUGGGGUAAAGGCCCACCAAGGCGACGAUCUGUAGCGGGUCUGAGAGGAUGAUCCGCCACACUGGGACUGAGACACGGCCCAGACUCCUACGGGAGGCAGCAGUGGGGAAUAUUGGACAAUGGGGGAAACCCUGAUCCAGCAAUGCCGCGUGAGUGAUGAAGGCCUCGGUUGUAAGACUCUUUAUUCAGGAAGAUGAUGACGGUACCGUGAUGAUAAGACUCCGGCUAACUUCGUGCCAGCAGCCGCGGUAAGUAGUCGUG
This 480-nucleotide ribosomal RNA is filed under the name uncultured bacterium. Its description in RNAcentral is "bacterial SSU rRNA". It matches the Rfam family "Bacterial small subunit ribosomal RNA", at positions 29 to 529 of the family's 1533-position model. The record is from RNAcentral.